GUGAAACAUGAAUUGGCCUUACUCCCCCUUGAAUUCCAUCUACGGAUCUACCAAUUUGAUUGUCCAAUCUCCCCCUUAAUCUUUGAUCUAGUUUAUUAUACUCUCAAACACCGUGUCCGAACCUGGGCCUAUUCACAUAGCCAUCCCUAUUCCAUCGAGAGCCACUUUGUCGUAGACUGCGCGCACCUUGCUCCAUCAAGAGUCACCUUGGAUGUUUCCCGCUCUAUCAAGAGUCUCUUGCAAGCCCAUGACAUCAGUGUGUUGCACCAAGAGAGUCCGUCGAGAGUUUGCCCAUAGAUCACUAACCACAGCUCAGAUAACACUUGUUAAGGGAGAAUCGUCUUCAAUUGGUCCGCCCACUCGCUCGCGUAUGGCCCAAUCUGUUGGGAGAUAAAUCACAUAGGUCCACAUUCAUAUCACCUUGGCCCCAAUAUAUUGUAUAUAACUUAUACUCACUUAAAAGCUGAAGUCUUGCAACUGGUGAAUCCAUCCAAUGUAUAUUAAUGUAUAUUAAGAGCCAACUCCUUUUCUACUUAUCCGACGUGGGACUUUAUUCUUCACACAUGUCCUCAACAAAAUUCGACAUAAGAAUCAGUCAACAUGGCGUCAUGUAUGGGACUUAAAAUUAGACGGAAAUUUUGGAUGGCAGACGAGCGGAGGGAGCGGGUCAACGUGCUUUCAACAGUGCAGCUUCAAAAGGAGAUGCAGAUUAGAUUACAAUUGAUAAUAACAAUCAAAACAUUAUGCUUUUCUAAGCAUAAGAAUAGUUAGGAUCAAAAGAGUCAAUACAACAAAAGGAGAAGUUUUUACAAAAUGAGGAAAAAAGCCAAAUAAAGAAAGUAAAACUAAAUAGAGUACAACACUCGCUCCUAAGGCUGCAGCCAUGGGCAAAGCUACAUGGAGCUCAGUGAACCCACCCAACUUUGGAAUUUGUUUAGGAUAAUGGAGUGUUAGGUAAAAAAUUUGUGAGGUUUCUAUGAAUUGACAUCACAAAGAUUGUUAAAAAAUAAACGUGAUGGUGUCAUUUGUUUGAACAAUUACAACUUAGUUUAGAACCACUCCUCUUUUUGAGCUUGGGAUUUUUAGGUGUCUACAAGAUUUAUUCUUUUCCCUUCAUGUGAAGACUCUUUGUCACUUCUCUCACUCUUUUUGUUUGAUCAACUAAAACAUGCACAAUCUCACUCUUAAGCUUUGUUGAGUCCUUUCUUGGUCACAGAUCAAAUGUUUCGAUAAUAUGAUAGAUUGAAGCCUUAAGGAUAACCAUUGUAAAAUCCUCCACAUAAAUCAAACAUUCCACUAAGAAAUGGAAAAAAUGACCUUGGGCACUCAUCGGAGGCAAAAA
This 1342-nucleotide long non-coding RNA is filed under the name Actinidia chinensis (golden kiwifruit). RNAcentral describes it as "long non-coding RNA (ACHI_LNC002313)". Lineage: Eukaryota; Viridiplantae; Streptophyta; Magnoliopsida; Ericales; Actinidiaceae. The record is from RNAcentral.